RNAcentral lists this ribosomal RNA (574 nucleotides) under uncultured bacterium. Its description in RNAcentral is "bacterial SSU rRNA". It matches the Rfam family "Bacterial small subunit ribosomal RNA", at positions 10 to 557 of the family's 1533-position model. The record is from RNAcentral.
AGUUUGAUCAUGGCUCAGAACGAACGCUGGCGGCGUGGAUAAGACAUGCAAGUCGAACGAUCACUAUUGAGUAGCAAUAUUUGGUAGUGGGAGUGGCGCAAGGGUGCGUAACACGUGGGUAAUUUGCCGUAAAGUCUGGGAUAACUUGCCGAAAGGCGAGCUAAUACCGGAUGUGAUUGCCGGGGGGAAUCCUCUGGCACUUAAAGUCGGGGACCGCAAGGCCUGACACUUUUCGAUAAGCCCGCGGCCUAUCAGCUAGUUGGUGAGGUAACGGCUCACCAAGGCUAAGACGGGUAGCUGGUCUGAGAGGACGACCAGCCACACUGGAACUGAGACACGGUCCAGACACCUACGGGUGGCAGCAGUCGAGAAUUUUUCUCAAUGGGGGAAACCCUGAAGGAGCGACGCCGCGUGGGGGAUGAAUGGCUUCGGCCCGUAAACCCCUGUCAUUUGCGAUCAAACCUUACGACCUAACACGUCGUAAGCUGAUAGUAGCGAAAGAGGAAGGGACGGCUAACUCUGUGCCAGCAGCCGCGGUAAUACAGAGGUCCCAAGCGUUGUUCGGAUUCACUGG